Molecule: transfer RNA, 74 nt
Filed under: Heteroscyphus zollingeri
Lineage: Eukaryota; Viridiplantae; Streptophyta; Jungermanniopsida; Jungermanniales; Lophocoleaceae
Description: tRNA-Arg
Rfam family: tRNA
About the family: Transfer RNA (tRNA) molecules are approximately 80 nucleotides in length. Their secondary structure includes four short double-helical elements and three loops (D, anti-codon, and T loops).
Source: RNAcentral
GCAUCCUUAGCUCAGUUGGAUAGAGCAACAACCUUCUAAGUUGAAGGUCACAGGUUCAACUCCUGUAGGAUGCG